RNAcentral lists this ribosomal RNA (330 nucleotides) under Triticum aestivum (bread wheat). RNAcentral's name for it is "partial small subunit ribosomal RNA". Lineage: Eukaryota; Viridiplantae; Streptophyta; Magnoliopsida; Poales; Poaceae. The record is from RNAcentral.
AUGGCAAAACACCUCCUAUCUGCGCAAAACAAGAACGGCGACACGCCCAUGCACUGUGCUGCACGAGCUGGGAUGUUCCUGAUGGUCUCUCAUCUCAUUAGUUUGGCCAGAGAUGAGAAUACAAGUGUUAACAGAGUGAAGGAAUUCCUGGAAAUGGAGAACAAGCUUCAGGAGACAGCAUUGCAUCAGGCAGUCCAUAUUGGGGAUAAUGGCAUAGUCAAGCUGCUAAUGGAGGAAAACUCAGAGUUGGCCAGUUUUCCCAAAUUCGGCACUUCACCUCUGUACCUGGCCAUCUUGCUGGAAGAGGACAUAUCAUUACUCCGGGCCUAA